AAUGAACGCUGGCGGCAGGCCUAACACAUGCAAGUCGAACGGAUCCUUCGGGGUUAGUGGCGGACGGGUGAGUAACGCGUGGGAACAUACCCAAAGGUACGGAAUAGCCUCGGGAAACUGGGAGUAAUACCGUAUGUGCUCGAAAGAGGAAAGAUUUAUAGCCUUUGGAUUGGCCCGCGUUGGAUUAGGUAGUUGGUGGGGUAAUGGCCUACCAAGCAGACGAUCCAUAGCUGGUUGGUGAGGAUGAUCAGCCACGCUGGGACUGAGAAACAGCCCAGACUCCUACGGGAGGGAGCAGUGGGGAAUCUUAGACAAUGGGGGAAACCCUGAUCUAGCCCUGCCGCGUGAUCGAUGAAGGCCUUAGGGUUGUAAAGAUCUUUCAGGUGGGAAGAUAAUGACUGUACCACCAGAAGAAGCCCCGGCUAACUCCGUGCCAGCCGCCGCAGUAA
This 449-nucleotide ribosomal RNA is filed under the name uncultured bacterium. RNAcentral describes it as "partial 16S ribosomal RNA". It matches the Rfam family "Bacterial small subunit ribosomal RNA", at positions 29 to 523 of the family's 1533-position model. The record is from RNAcentral.